RNAcentral lists this ribosomal RNA (235 nucleotides) under uncultured bacterium. RNAcentral's name for it is "partial 16S ribosomal RNA". It matches the Rfam family "Bacterial small subunit ribosomal RNA", at positions 96 to 334 of the family's 1533-position model. RNAcentral also lists the same sequence under 1 other name. The record is from RNAcentral.
UGGCGGACGGGUGAGUAAUGUCUGGGAAACUGCCUGAUGGAGGGGGAUAACUACUGGAAACGGUAGCUAAUACCGCAUAACGUCGCAAGACCAAAGAGGGGGACCUUCGGGCCUCUUGCCAUCGGAUGUGCCCAGAUGGGAUUAGCUAGUAGGUGGGGUAACGGCUCACCUAGGCGACGAUCCCUAGCUGGUCUGAGGGGAUGACCAGCCACACUGGAACUGAGACACGGUCCAG